Pelobates cultripes (western spadefoot toad) is the source of this 263-nucleotide non-coding RNA. NCBI's taxonomy places the organism in Eukaryota, Metazoa, Chordata, Amphibia, Anura, Pelobatidae. The record is from the annotation of a GenBank genome assembly.
AUAAAUAUCCCCACAAAAUGAACUUUUGCACAAUAUUCUAAGUUUUCGAGUAUCACCUGUAUGUUGUUUGAGCGAUACAUGAUCGCUCAUAAUUGGCUGAUGUCAAAGUUGGUGUUACAAACACUCACUUUAACAGUGAUCUCUGCCUCCUCUGUAGCAUUUUGAGAGGGAGAGACAGAGCUCAUAGUAGUUUGCUGCCAGAACCUGUGAAAGAGAGUAAAAAAUUAUACAAUUCCAUUUUACUCCUUUCCUGCCAAAUCCUG